CAAGAUUAAGAGCAAACAGUGAUCGUGAGCAUGCAAGUAUCAACAUACAAUCAAGGGGUUAAUUACAUGUCGUACAGUAGAAGCAUAGAUAGAUAAUAAUUACGAAUUUAACACACUGAAGUAAAACAACCACAUUGGUUUGGAAUUUUGAAAGUAAUCAGGAAAUACCAGUAAUAAGAGAGCACAACAGAAUGCAAGAGUCAAAUAUGAGCAAAAUGUUAGCCUUGGCUUUCAAGUCGGCUAAUAAUAGUCACAAGUAGGGAACAACAACAGAGUAAGAGAUAAAAGGAGAGAAAUAGCACAAGAGAGACCAAUGUGUAUUGCUAUGUUAUUUGUGAAAUGCAAUGUAUCAAUGUGUAAUGCAAAAGAGAAUGGGGGUACUUAUAGUACUGAAGAUGAGCAAACAAACAAGGUAGCAAUCAG
Molecule: long non-coding RNA, 423 nt
Filed under: Nicotiana benthamiana
Lineage: Eukaryota; Viridiplantae; Streptophyta; Magnoliopsida; Solanales; Solanaceae
Description: long non-coding RNA (NBEN_LNC006736)
Source: RNAcentral